AGCGAACGCUGGCGGCAGGCUUAACACAUGCAAGUCGAACGGGCGUAGCAAUACGUCAGUGGCAGACGGGUGAGUAACGCGUGGGAACGUACCUUUUGGUUCGGAACAACCCAGGGAAACUUGGGCUAAUACCGGAUAAGCCCUUACGGGGAAAGAUUUAUCGCCGAAAGAUCGGCCCGCGUCUGAUUAGCUAGUUGGUGAGGUAACGGCUCACCAAGGCGACGAUCAGUAGCUGGUCUGAGAGGAUGAUCAGCCUCACUGGGACUGAGACACGGCCCAGACUCCUACGGGAGGCAGCAGUGGGGAAUAUUGGACAAUGGGCGCAAGCCUGAUCCAGCCAUGCCGCGUGGGUGAUGAAGGCCCUAGGGUU
RNAcentral lists this ribosomal RNA (370 nucleotides) under uncultured bacterium. RNAcentral describes it as "bacterial SSU rRNA". It matches the Rfam family "Bacterial small subunit ribosomal RNA", at positions 29 to 424 of the family's 1533-position model. The record is from RNAcentral.